GAAGGUAUAGCUCAGUGGUAGAGAGUGCAUUUUGCAUGUACAAGGUCCUGAGUUCAAUCCCCAGUAUCUCUG
RNAcentral lists this transfer RNA (72 nucleotides) under Camelus bactrianus (Bactrian camel). It matches the Rfam family "tRNA". From Rfam's summary of the family: Transfer RNA (tRNA) molecules are approximately 80 nucleotides in length. Their secondary structure includes four short double-helical elements and three loops (D, anti-codon, and T loops). Lineage: Eukaryota; Metazoa; Chordata; Mammalia; Artiodactyla; Camelidae. The record is from Rfam by way of RNAcentral. RNAcentral also lists the same sequence under 2 other names.